RNAcentral lists this small RNA (28 nucleotides) under Bombyx mori (domestic silkworm). RNAcentral's name for it is "ovarian small RNA-4521". The record is from RNAcentral. Lineage: Eukaryota; Metazoa; Arthropoda; Insecta; Lepidoptera; Bombycidae.
AGCAACGUUGAAAGCGCGCCCGCUGCAC